This 1171-nucleotide long non-coding RNA is filed under the name Sus scrofa (pig). RNAcentral's name for it is "lncRNA (ENSSSCG00065048713.1)". The record is from RNAcentral. Lineage: Eukaryota; Metazoa; Chordata; Mammalia; Artiodactyla; Suidae.
UAUAUCUGCUGCCAGGAGUUCCCUUGUGGCACUCUGGGUUAAGGAUCCAGCCUUGUCAGUGCAGCAGCUCUGUUGCUGCUGUAGCAAGGGUCCCUGGCCUGGGAACUUCCACAUGCUGCAGGUGCAUCCAAAAAAAAAAUUAUAUCUGCUGUCUUAUUUCUUCAUGACUGCACACUUCUUUUCACUUUAUGACGUCAGCUGUCAUUGACACUCAUGAAAACUUAAGGAUGGAGAAGGGCUAGUUUGCUCUCUGUGACAGAUGGUAUUUUUCCAAAAAUGAAUCCUAUCUCAUGUGCCCCUCUUCUGAUAAGAUUCUGAUGUUUCUCUGUCAAGAUAUGGGAUCUAAGUUCCUUCGCUUGAAUCUAGCAGACCUGAGACUCUGGCAGGGGUAAUGCUAGGUGACUUUCAAAGCUAAGUCAUAACAGGUGACACACCCAGAUGGCUUGCUCUCUCAGGAUGCUCCUGGCAUCAUGAACCCAAGCCCCAUGCUGUGAGGAAGCCCAAGCAGCCACCUAGAAGCUACUCCUACACCCUUGCAGGAGUCCUGGCACCAACUGAGACACGAGAGUGAGAGAGACUUCAGAAGAUUCCCACUCCCUGCCUUCAAGUCACUCCAGACAUAAACUGCUCUAAGUCCUGUCCAAAUUGCUGAUCUGGAAGCAAAAUAAAUGUUGUUUUAAACCACUAAAUUUUAGCUUAUUGUUAUGUGGCAAUAGGUGACUGAAACACUGGCAGACUCUCUCCUGAGGACAACACGCUGGGUUUGACUGAGUGUCGGAGUGGGCAUGAACCUGAUUUUGAUUCAGUACAAGUGGUGAACAGUUACAGACUGUGAUGAAGGAGAAGGAGCCAGCAGGGUGAGUAACACCCAGUGGGUGUGGAGGCUUCCUCAAAGAACUGGGGAGGUGGCUGGCUCAGGAAUUCCAGCAGGAGAGGAGGGUGGCCUGGACCACCACCGUCCAUGGAGGAUGCAGAAUAUGCCCGGCUUGGGCCCGGGCCCCGCCCAUGGGAACAGAGUGGGAGUGCCGGAGAACAACUUGGCCUUGACUCAAUCUGGAUGACCCAUGCACUCCAGGCUUGGACCCAGACCUGAACAGAAGCCAUCCCACCCAGGGAACCAAACCAGGACGGGGAGACAGAGUUGUUCCUGUGUAUUUUUCUCUUACCCACG